Molecule: unclassified non-coding RNA, 240 nt
Filed under: plant metagenome
Description: partial contains small subunit ribosomal RNA, internal transcribed spacer 1, and 5.8S ribosomal RNA
Source: RNAcentral
UUUCCGUAGGUGAACCUGCGGAAGGAUCAUUACUGAGUUAGGGUCUUUAUGGCCCGACCUCCAACCCUUUGUUUAAUCUACCAUGCUGCUUUGGCAGGCCCGCUUAGAAAUGGGCCGCCGGAGACCUUUGAGUCUCUGGUCAGUGCCUGCCAGUAGCCUUUCUAAAUUCAUUUAUAACCGUGUCUGAAUAUACAAAGAAAAAUUAAAAUAAAACUUUCAACAACGGAUCUCUUGGUUCUG